GGAUGUGAAGGGGAGCUGGCUGCAACAUCUGUCGCCUCAUUGAUCACUAAGUUUGACUCAGUUGGUCUGGCUGGCUAGACAGUAGUCCCUUUCCUCCCUCAUGGCUUCAUACAAUGUGUCCCUCCUGAAGCUGCAUGCCCAGUUGAAGAGGAUGACCUUCCCAGAUGGAAGGGGACCUUUCUUCAGUCAAGGGUAUGCUAGUAGCUGUGUUUCCAUGCUAGACCUCUUAGCAAUCUCUCAAGAUUAACUUAAUAACCCAGAUCAAGAAAAGCAGGUAACAUAUACUGCCCCUUAUCAUGGCAGUGAUG
This 308-nucleotide small nuclear RNA is filed under the name Nannospalax galili (Upper Galilee mountains blind mole rat). Its description in RNAcentral is "7SK RNA (ENSNGAG00000007817.1)". It matches the Rfam family "7SK RNA". Rfam says of the family: 7SK was discovered as an abundant small nuclear RNA in the mid-70s but a possible function has only recently been suggested. Lineage: Eukaryota; Metazoa; Chordata; Mammalia; Rodentia; Spalacidae. The record is from Rfam by way of RNAcentral.